GUGGGGAAUUUUGGACAAUGGGCGCAAGCCUGAUCCAGCAAUGCCGCGUGCAGGAAGAAGGCCUUCGGGUUGUAAACUGCUUUUGUACGGAACGAAAAGGCUCUGGUUAAUACCUGGGGCUCAUGACGGUACCGUAAGAAUAAGCACCGGCUAACUACGUGCCAGCAGCCGCGGUAAUACGUAGGGUGCAAGCGUUAAUCGGAAUUACUGGGCGUAAAGCGUGCGCAGGCGGUUUUGUAAGACAGGCGUGAAAUCCCCAGGCUGAAACUGGGAAUGGCGCUUGUGACUGCAAGGAUGGAGUGCGGAAGAGGGGGAUGGAAUUCCGCGUGUAGCAGUGAAAUGCGUAGAUAUGCGGAGGAACACCGAUGGCGAAGGCAAUCCCCUGGGCCUGCACUGACGCUCAUGCACGAAAGCGUGGGGAGCAAACAGGAUUAGAAACCCUGGUAGUCC
RNAcentral lists this ribosomal RNA (450 nucleotides) under uncultured bacterium. RNAcentral describes it as "partial 16S ribosomal RNA". It matches the Rfam family "Bacterial small subunit ribosomal RNA", at positions 354 to 796 of the family's 1533-position model. The record is from RNAcentral.